CGACGGCCCUGGGUAGUCUGAUGAAUACAAGUCUGUCAGAAACAAAGAGUUGAUGAGCGUCGACUUUCCUAGUCCUGACUCACCUACAACAAUCAACUUAAUUUC
Non-coding RNA from Chiloscyllium plagiosum (whitespotted bambooshark), 105 nucleotides. Lineage: Eukaryota; Metazoa; Chordata; Chondrichthyes; Orectolobiformes; Hemiscylliidae. The record is from RefSeq and is a predicted model, not a curated record.